UACGUAGGGAGCAAGCGUUGUCCGGAAUCAUUGGGCGUAAAGCGCGCGUAGGUGGCCUCGUAAGUCCGCUGUGAAAGUCAAAGGCUCAACCUUUGAAAGCCGGUGGAUACUGUGAGGCUAGAGUACGGAAGAGGCGAGUGGAAUUCCUGGUGUAGCGGUGGAAUGCGCAGAUAUCAGGAGGAACACCAAUGGCGAAGGCAGCACUCUGGGACGUGACUGACGCUGAGACGCGAAAGCGUGGGGAGCAAACAGG
Molecule: ribosomal RNA, 253 nt
Filed under: uncultured bacterium
Lineage: Bacteria
Description: partial 16S ribosomal RNA
Rfam family: Bacterial small subunit ribosomal RNA
Source: RNAcentral